Molecule: ribosomal RNA, 487 nt
Filed under: uncultured bacterium
Lineage: Bacteria
Description: bacterial SSU rRNA
Rfam family: Bacterial small subunit ribosomal RNA
Source: RNAcentral
CUACGUGCCAGCAGCCGCGGUAAUACGUAGGGUGCGAGCGUUAAUCGGAAUUACUGGGCGUAAAGCGAGCGCAGACGGUUACUUAAGCAGGAUGUGAAAUCCCCGGGCUCAACCUGGGAACUGCGUUNUGAACUGGGUGACUAGAGUGUGUCAGAGGGAGGUAGAAUUCCACGUGUAGCAGUGAAAUGCGUAGAGAUGUGGAGGAAUACCGAUGGCGGAGGCAGCCUCCUGGGAUAACACUGACGUUCAUGCUCGAAAGCGUGGGUAGCAAACAGGAUUAGAUACCCUGGUAGUCCACGCCCUAAACGAUGUCAAUUAGCUGUUGGGCAACUUGAUUGCUUAGUAGCGUAGCUAACGCGUGAAAUUGACCGCCUGGGGAGUACGGUCGCAAGAUUAAAACUCAAAGGAAUUGACGGGGACCCGCACAAGCGGUGGAUGAUGUGGAUUAAUUCGAUGCAACGCGAAGAACCUUACCUGGUCUUGACAU